RNAcentral lists this transfer-messenger RNA (402 nucleotides) under Pacificimonas pallii. It matches the Rfam family "Alphaproteobacteria transfer-messenger RNA". From Rfam's summary of the family: Bacterial tmRNA, also known as 10Sa RNA or SsrA, is named for its dual tRNA and mRNA-like properties. Its role is to liberate the mRNA from a stalled ribosome. To accomplish this part of the tmRNA is used as a reading frame that ends in a translation stop signal. The record is from RNAcentral. Lineage: Bacteria; Pseudomonadati; Pseudomonadota; Alphaproteobacteria; Sphingomonadales; Sphingosinicellaceae.
GCAAUUGAUUUUUUCGUAAAUUCGCCUAUAUUCGUCCUGUCGGCUUAGCGGCUGACUAUGGCGAUAAAUGGCGCCGUGAAAUAGGCAUAUUGGACCCGGGGGCGGUACCCGGCAGCUCCACCACAGGCUUCGCCUGACCUUGAAAAAGGCGAAGUCUUUGAUGGGGCUGAAAUAGGAUCGACAUGUGCUGAAAGACGGUGGUUUUGCCCGGCCUGAAUACGCCGUAAAAGUUUUCAAACUCAAUAAAUGCUAACGAUAACGAAGCAUUUGCGAUGGCCGCCUAACCCAAGUCCUUUUUCGAGGAUUAGGUUAGUACGACUUAAGCACGGUUCGGGGCGCACCGGGUAACAGAAGCGUCAGUCCAGCGGUCCGGAGGGCACCGGGCAACAGAAGCCCUCCAUU